RNAcentral lists this ribosomal RNA (1489 nucleotides) under uncultured Bordetella sp. Its description in RNAcentral is "partial 16S-23S ribosomal RNA intergenic spacer". It matches the Rfam family "Bacterial small subunit ribosomal RNA". Lineage: Bacteria; Pseudomonadati; Pseudomonadota; Betaproteobacteria; Burkholderiales; Alcaligenaceae. The record is from RNAcentral.
AGUUCGAUUCUUGGCUCAGAUUGAACGCUGGCGGGAUGCUUUACACAUGCAAGUCGAACGGCAGCACGGACUUCGGUCUGGUGGCGAGUGGCGAACGGGUGAGUAAUGUAUCGGAACGUGCCUAGUAGGUGGGGGAUAGGUCUACGCGAAAGCGUAGCUAAUACCGCAUACGGCCCUUCGGGGGAAAGCGGGGGGACCUUUCGGGCCUCGCACUAUUAGAGCGGCUGAUAUCGGAUUAGCUAGUUGGUGGGGUAACGGCUCACCAAGCAACAUAUCCGUAGCUGGUCGAGAGGACGACCAGCCACACUGGGACUGAGACACGGCCCAGACUCCUACGGGAGGCAGCAGUGGGGAAUUUUGGGCAAUGGGGGGAAACCCUGAUCCAGCCAUCCCGCGUGUGCGAUGAAGGCCUUCGGGUUGUAAAGCACUUUUGGCAGGAAAGAAACGGCACGGGAUAAUACCCCCGUGCAACUGACGGUACCUGCAGAAUAAGCACCGGCUAACUACGCCAGCAGCCGCGGUAAUACGUAGGGUGCAAGCGUUAAUCGGAAUUACUGGGCGUAAAGCGUGCGCAGGCGGUUCGGAAAAAGAAAGAUGUGAAAUCCCAGAGCUAACUUUGGAACUGCAUUUUUAACUACCGAGCUAGAGUGUAGUCAGAGGGAGGUGGAAUUUCGCGUGUAGCAGUGAAAUGCGUAGAUAUGCGGAGGCAUCAACGACGGCGAAGGCAGCCUCCUGGGAUAAUUACCCGACGCUCAUGCACGAAAAAGCGCGGGGAGCAAACAGGAUUAGAUGCCCCGGUAGUCCACGCCCUAAACGAUGUCAACUAGCUGUUGGGGCCUUCGGGCUCGGUAGCGCAGCUAACGCAGGAAGUUGACCGCCUGGGGGAGCGUCAGUCGCAAAGAUUAAAACUCAAAGGAAUUGACGGGGACCCGCACAAGCGGUGGAUGAUGUGGAUUAAUUCGAUGCAACGCGAAAACCUUACCUACCCCUGCGUAGAUACUGUCUGGAAUCCUGAAGAGAUUUGGGAGUGCUCGCAAGAGAACCGGAACACAGGUGCUGCAUGGCUGUCGUCAGCUCGUGUCGUGAGAUGUUGGGUUAAGUCCUCAACGAGCGCAAACCCCGACACAGCACCACGAGAUCGUCGGUGACAAACCGGAGGAAGGUGGGGAUGACGUCAAGUCCUCAUGGCCCUUAUGGGUAGGGCUUCACACGUCAUACAAUGGUCGGGACAUAAUGCCGCACCCAACCACAGGGGGAGCCAAUCCCAGAAACCCGAUCGUAGUCCGGAUCGCAGUCUGCAACUCGACUGCGUGAAGUCGGAAUCGCUAGUAAUCGCGGAUCAGCAUGUCGCGGUGAAUACGUUCCCGGGUCUUGUACACACCGCCCGUCACACCAUGGGAGUGGGUUUUACCAGAAGUAGUUAGCCUAACCGUAAGGAGGGCGAUUACCACGGUAGGAUUCAUGACUGGGGUGAAGUCGUAACAAGGUA